CCUACGGGUGGCAGCAGUGAGGAAUAUUGGUCAAUGGGCGCGAGCCUGAACCAGCCAAGUAGCGUGAAGGAUGACUGCCCUAUGGGUUGUAAACUUCUUUUAUAAAGGAGUAAAGUGUGGCACGAGUGCCUUUUUGUAUGUACUUUAUGAAUAAGGAUCGGCUAACUCCGUGCCAGCAGCCGCGGUAAUACGGAGGAUCCGAGCGUUAUCCGGAUUUAUUGGGUUUAAGGGGAGCGUAGAUGGGUUGUUAAGUCAGUUGUGAAAGUUUGGGGCUCAACCAUAGAAUUGCCAUUGAAACUGGCAGUCUUGAGUACAGUUGAGGUAGGCGGAAUUCGUGGUGUAGCGGUGAAAUGCGUAGAUAUCACGAAGAACUCCGAUUGCGAAGGCAGCUUACUAGACUGCCACUGACGUUGAUGCUCGAAAGUGUGGGUAGCAAACAGGAUUAGAUACCCCAGUAGUC
This 460-nucleotide ribosomal RNA is filed under the name uncultured bacterium. Its description in RNAcentral is "partial 16S ribosomal RNA". It matches the Rfam family "Bacterial small subunit ribosomal RNA", at positions 338 to 795 of the family's 1533-position model. The record is from RNAcentral.